Molecule: long non-coding RNA, 340 nt
Organism: Balaenoptera ricei (Rice's whale)
Lineage: Eukaryota; Metazoa; Chordata; Mammalia; Artiodactyla; Balaenopteridae
Exons: 2
Source: RefSeq, a predicted model, not a curated record
GGGGGCGGGAGGGCAGGCAGGAGGGCGUCCCGCGGGGACCUGUCUGUGGCUGAGCGUCUCCCCUGCUCUCUGGGUCCCGGGAGUUCCCUCGCUGUGUGACCCUCAGCAAGUGUGCGCACCUCUCUGAGCCUCGGCGGCCUGUAGCAAAAUGGAGGAGCUCGUACCGGCUGUGAGACAAAAUAGGAGCGGCAUAAGACAGGCAUGUUCUGCUCCACGUGGUAGGCUAUAACCACCACACAAUGCCAGAAUUUACCUGGGACCACUUCAAGGCUGACUUGACUCUCUCCUGGUCUGGAUUCCAAGUUUCUAGACGAGAGAAGCGGAUUGGCCCAGUUUGGGU